GGUUUCAUUCAAUCUGCAUCACUUACAUCCUUAUUCACUCCAUUAAUUUACGACCUUCACUGACUCGCAAUGAAACCUGACGUUCUAAAAGGUUGAGAAACUUAACCUAUAAAUAAGGAGAGAGAUCGAAACGACUCCAUAACUUCAGAUUACCUUAUCUUCGAUGGGGUCAGUAUAUUCCUCAGGGAUGUCAAGCUACCGUCUUCCGAUGGGCCGCUCAGGGAUCUCCGGCAGGUGCUGGAGGAGAAAAAUCUGAUGGUCUUGGAAUGUCAAGCUACGGCUCGACGCCUCAUGGCUACCAGUAAGCUUGACAGGAACUCUGUCUGCCUUACUGUUUUUGAAGGUUUUGAUGCUUCUCAGGAUAAAAAAUUGCUAACCUCUGGUGUUGAACCAAAGCCUAAAGGUAGUAGUUGCAACCAAUAUUAACCCAAAGUUAGUUGGAGCUCUCAGGAAGUAGAGUUCCUUUGCACAGCUGUUGUCAAUGGUAUUGAGACGGGAAAUGGGUGGAGCUAUAUUUCAUGCUGGAAGUGCUACCGAAAGCUCCAACGUGGAUUCUCAGCUUUCACAUGCUCUGCAUAUCAAGCUGACAAUGCAGUGGUUGUUGUAAGGUACCGUGUGCAAAUGAAUGUGUUGGAUGCGUAUAACUGCUAAGAUAAUAGCUUUUGACAGUGAAAUGACCAAGCUUACAAAUUUCAGGGCAGCAGACAUAUCUCAGCUAAUGGGCGAGGGCGAGGGCGACCAAGACAUCCAAGAAUUAGCACUUCCCCAAUACCUCAAAGACAUUGUUGGAAGCACAUUAACCUUCCAUCUCGCGCUCCCACCCAAUUCAACUUCCCAUGAAAACAUCAGAGCUUAGCUGAUGCAACCAGCUCCCAUCUUUGAAUGCGACCAGCUCCCUCCUCUACCUAAUUUUGACGCAAACGUGAGUAGGAAUGUUGAUGAUAGGUUUAGCUGCUCUGCAAAGUAUUCUUGACUGAGUUUUCACUUUCACAAGGAGGACAUGACAACCCUGGAGAUGAUAUGCCCGGUGCUGGAGCAAAACACAUGCUCCUGUGGGCACUCUGAUCCUCACCUGAACGGCUGAAUGAACACUAACAACUUCACAGCUAAUGUGAAUGUUGAUGGCCAAGCUGUCUCUGAUAAUGUAAUGUAUCAGGAUCCUGCAACUGACUGUGACACUGGAGAAAAGAAGUUAGCUGAAGAGGAAGCACCUAGCGCUAAGCAGAGCUGGGCUGAGUUAAAUUUCUCUGAUUGUCGCAGCUAUUUUGGGAAUAAGCCAUCUUUUUAUAAUUUCUGUGGCUUCGAUAAUUUCUAUAACCGUGAAGUUCGUGAAUCCUAUUAGAAUUUGUUUCAAGUCUUUUUCCCUUUAAAUAAUUCCAUAAACUCUUUAGUUGA
Molecule: long non-coding RNA, 1395 nt
Organism: Raphanus sativus (radish)
Lineage: Eukaryota; Viridiplantae; Streptophyta; Magnoliopsida; Brassicales; Brassicaceae
Exons: 6
Source: RefSeq, a predicted model, not a curated record